CCUGGAGAUUUAAUGGGUCUUAGUCUGCAAGAAGAACCUACAUCAAGCUCUGUGUUGUGUGUCUGUGGGGUUUUUUUUUUAAGAUGAGUGAAAGGAUGCAUAGAAAGAUCUGAUUGUAAAAGGAUGACUGAUCACUAUAGAGUUAAAAAAACAGAACAAGAAGAGGGUGUGUAUAUGAGAAAAAAAAAAGAUCCAAUGGUAAUCCACAAUCUGCCAGAGAGAUCAGCUGCCUAUCUGUUAUCAAACGGUCCAUCUGAGAAGUGAAAAAGGCCGGGGGUGGGGGAGAGACUGCACAACCAGCCACAGACAACAAAUGAAAAAAAAUUAAUCUUUAUCUCCUCUGAGAUCGGAUCGCUGUUUAUCUGAAGUCUCAUCAGCUUUUUCUUUUUUUCACAAAACAGUGACGUUUCCACGGGAGAAUUAAAACAGGAAACCAGGCGAGAGAGAGUCAGGAGCAUGAUCACAUUCACGAGUGUCAACAUUUCGCGCAAUGACCUGGUCCUGGCUCUGUUUACUUGAUGAACCGGUACAACACACCCGAGACAGAUGUGUCAAAUGCUCAAAGGAGUUGAUCCGCCAGGUGUGCUGAAUACACACGAGUGGGAAACGUGAGAUGUUUCCAAGAAAUGGUAACGCGCACCGGG
Long non-coding RNA from Silurus meridionalis, 644 nucleotides. RefSeq lists it as uncharacterized. The record is from RefSeq and is a predicted model, not a curated record. Lineage: Eukaryota; Metazoa; Chordata; Actinopteri; Siluriformes; Siluridae. The transcript is spliced from 3 exons.